RNAcentral lists this ribosomal RNA (682 nucleotides) under uncultured bacterium. RNAcentral describes it as "bacterial SSU rRNA". It matches the Rfam family "Bacterial small subunit ribosomal RNA", at positions 91 to 790 of the family's 1533-position model. The record is from RNAcentral.
UCUAGUGGCGGACGGGUGAGUAACGCGUGGGUAACCUGCCUUAUACAGGGGGAUAACAGUCAGAAAUGACUGCUAAUACCGCAUAAGCGCACAGGGCCGCAUGGCCCGGUGUGAAAAACUCCGGUGGUAUAAGAUGGACCCGCGUUGGAUUAGCUUGUUGGUGGGGUAACGGCCCACCAAGGCGACGAUCCAUAGCCGGCCUGAGAGGGUGAACGGCCACAUUGGGACUGAGACACGGCCCAGACUCCUACGGGAGGCAGCAGUGGGGAAUAUUGCACAAUGGGGGAAACCCUGAUGCAGCGACGCCGCGUGAGCGAAGAAGUAUUUCGGUAUGUAAAGCUCUAUCAGCAGGGAAGAUAAUGACGGUACCUGACUAAGAAGCCCCGGCUAACUACGUGCCAGCAGCCGCGGUAAUACGUAGGGGGCAAGCGUUAUCCGGAUUUACUGGGUGUAAAGGGAGCGUAGACGGCAAGGCAAGUCUGAUGUGAAAACCCAGGGCUUAACCCUGGGACUGCAUUGGAAACUGUCUGGCUCGAGUGCCGGAGAGGUAAGCGGAAUUCCUAGUGUAGCGGUGAAAUGCGUAGAUAUUAGGAAGAACACCAGUGGCGAAGGCGGCUUACUGGACGGUAACUGACGUUGAGGCUCGAAAGCGUGGGGGAGCAAACAGGAUUAGAUACCCUGG